This 2960-nucleotide long non-coding RNA is filed under the name Heterocephalus glaber (naked mole-rat). Its description in RNAcentral is "lncRNA (ENSHGLG00100051190.1)". The record is from RNAcentral. Lineage: Eukaryota; Metazoa; Chordata; Mammalia; Rodentia; Bathyergidae.
AAAGUUCAUAUAUAUAAAAAAUUUAUAAAAAUUUGAAAAAGAUUCAUGUUUAUUUUUACAGUUUUAAUGAGAAAUUUACACUGUUAUGGUUAAUUUUUAUGUGAACCAAAUCUUCCCAUUCUCCGAUGCCUUUUCCCUUAAAUCCCCACUUUAAGGGGAUAGGUGAAAUUAUCAAAUUAAGUGAAGUUAUAUGUUAGAAAGCUGCACAUGGCUUUUGGACUGUAAGUAUUGUAUUUCAGGUCUAUUACUGCAUUCCAUUACAUUUCAUAACUUGUUAGGGAGAAUGUGUUUGAUAAAAUAAAAUUUUCAAACAACUAAGAAAUGAUUGAUUUGAGUGACUGACAAUUUGAGUCACAUAUAAAAUAUGCAAGUAAGGUUGAGUUCUUAAUGUCCCCUAUAAUGGGCUGUAAAGGCAAUGAGUAUCUUGUAACUUUAGGUUAAUUGUACACAGUGAGAAGACUUUAAAUAUCUUAGAUGUAAGAUUUUCCUGUUUGUUACUCUUUUGGGGGAGUGGUGCUGGGGAUCGAACUCAGGACCUUGCGCUUGCCAGGAAGGUGUGGUGCCACUGAGCUACAUCCCGGCCCUGUUACUCUUUUAUGAUUAAAAAUCCCAAAAUUUUGCCAUCUUAUUUUUUAGCUACAUGAGCUUUACAAUUUCACUUGAUCAUUUAGUUCCUACCUAAAAGGCUUUGACUUUAACUAGCUUCUCUUAACUGGCAUUUUGAAAAUUUGACAGUAGUUAUAUUUAUUCAUGCUUUACAUUUUUAAUCCCUUUUUAUGUGCCCACACACACAGUUGUUCUCGUGAAGGUUUGGAGGAAAGGCAAUAGUACCUUUUUUCCUUUUCUUUUGAUUUCUUAGUUUCCAAAUGACUGACACUAAUCAUUUAGUCAUCUGUAAGCUGUGGAACUUAUUCUCGACAAUGAGAAAUUUUAAGUUAUCUGUUCCAUAAUUAAGUGAAAGUAACCUGUUUUGGAAAAAGAUAGCCUUUUGAUUCUUGUUUCAUAAUCAUUACAUGCAUAUUUAUGGUUUACAAAGACUCGGUAGAGAAAGGUCAAGUCCGGAAAGCAUCUCCAUGCCAGUGCUUUACAGUACUGUGCUGUGUAUCAGCUCAGGUGUCCACGGAACAGGAAUGUAGAAAGCUAGCCCUUAACUUUAAUCGCACUUUUAUGCUUCAUUUUUCUUCCUAUCAAAUCUUUUGCACUACAUAUAAAAUAAAAUUAUUACUUGAUUUCCCUUCUUUUGGAUCUGUAAUAUUUUCAAAAGCAGCUAGUUAGCACCUGUAUGCUAAUAUUACUUAAUGUAUUUCUGCAUAUUUCAUUUUUAAAAAAUCUUCUGCCUUGUUGAGACAGUGGAAUAUUUCUUGAUGGAUGUAAGGACCAAAGGAGCCAUUUUUCCAGUUAAGCAAGUAUUAUGGCAAAGGACCAAAUGAUUAAAAGGGUGCAUUUAUUUAGCUUCUCCGUGUGAAGUAUCGCCUUGGUGGGUUCAGUACUGCCUGUAUUACCAUUCAUCUUCAUACUGGGCGAAGCAAACUAGAAGAGAACGCAUCACAUUUUCCCCUUAUCCGAAGAGAAAAAAAUGAUAAAAUGAAUGAUCAUCUGAAUUUUAAUUUUCAGUAAGUAGCUGAAAAAUCUUGUCUGUUGGACAUAUGAGGCUACUGCCUAGUUAAAAUACCUAACAUUCCGUGAAUGCCAGUAAAAAAGAAGUAGUCUGGCAAUAAUUUCAAAAUUUUCCUAAGUUCUGAUUUUCAAUUACAAAGAAAAAGUGGGUAGAAUGUGGCUGUUCAAGGAAUUCUUACACUCCCCCUUCAAUCUGGCAGGCAAUAAACAGAGUUCUAGAAUUCAGGCUUCCUUUUUGGUUUCAUUACUAUUAAAUACUAUUAAAUACUUUCAUAUGAAUGGUAACAUUUUUCCUCAAAAUAUUAAUUCAAAACAUACUCCUUAUAUUAAGGAUUAUGUAAUGAAAUUUUUGUAAAUUUCCUGUGUGUAACAUUUUCCUGUUGGUAUGUGAUCCUUUUCAUCUAAUUUGAUUAUCUGCUGGUGUUGGGGCCAAUAGAUUUGUGAAUAUUCUGUGGAUGUGUACAUGUGUAAGUGUAUAUAUGCAUUUUUUUUCCAGCUAAUACCUCAGAUACGUGAUUGUUUAAUAUAUACCACAGUAUGUUUGCACAGAACAGGGCUUCCAUUAGUAAUGGGUAUCCUUAUUUCCAAAUUUGAAAAUCAGUCCACAGAAUUUCAUUAGUGUGAAUUCUCUCUGUUGAUUUUAAUAGAGAUUUCUUUUUUAAGGCCCACACUUCAAAAAUAACUUUAUCUUUCUAGCAAUCUGGAACUACAUUAGGGUAAGAAGUGUUUCUUGGAAUGUCUUAGUUCAUGAGUGUCUGAGAAUGACCAGCUGUGGAGAUAUUGAGUCACUGAGGAACAGAUGAUUCCUGGCAGGAGGUGGGCAGUUUUUAUCCACGUGUCUGUGAGAUUCUGCCCAUUCUAGUCAGCCUGCCACUCAUGAGCACUGUGCAAACAGUGACACUGAGGUAUUCCAGCCAUUACUUUUGGAGAAUUGUUUCUGAGUUGAAUGACUAUAAGGAUUAGAAGAAAAAAAUAUUUUGUAAUUCAUUUGCAUUAAGAAAUGCUUCUUACCUUUUUCUGUCUUUUUGGUUUUUAAAUUGCUUCGUAAGACUUUCUGUCCAUUUAAAGGUUAGUUUUAGUUUAUGUGUUUUUAAAAGCUACAGGAAAUUUUCACGGCGUGAUGGAAUUUUAAUGGAAGCCUUAUAUAAGCUAAAUGAAGUGAAAUGUAAAGGAGAUCUUACUUUGUCUAUAGUGCAUUCAAGAUUAUAUAAUUAGGUUUAAAAAUGCAAUGUCUGAUUUGUAAACUAAUGUUAUAUCAGACUUCUAUAAAAUAAAAUUUCCUGUGUGAGAACAUUUUUAAUGAAUGUUCUACUGAAUGAUUUAUGAUGAAUUUUUGUCUUUAA